UGGGGAAUAUUGGACAAUGGGCGAAAGCCUGAUCCAGCCAUGCCGCGUGUGUGAAGAAGGUCUUCGGAUUGUAAAGCACUUUAAGUUGGGAGGAAGGGCAGUUACCUAAUACGUGAUUGUUUUGACGUUACCGACAGAAUAAGCACCGGCUAACUCUGUGCCAGCAGCCGCGGUAAUACAGAGGGUGCAAGCGUUAAUCGGAAUUACUGGGCGUAAAGCGCGCGUAGGUGGUUAGUUAAGUUGGAUGUGAAAUCCCCGGGCUCAACCUGGGAACUGCAUUCAAAACUGACAAGCUAGAGUAUGGUAGAGGGUGGUGGAAUUUCCUGUGUAGCGGUGAAAUGCGUAGAUAUAGGAAGGAACACCAGUGGCGAAGGCGACCACCUGGACUGAUACUGACACUGAGGUGCGAAAGCGUGGGGAGCAAACAGGAUUAGAUACCCAAGUAGUCCCUGAGCGGGCUGGCAAGGCGC
RNAcentral lists this ribosomal RNA (470 nucleotides) under uncultured bacterium. RNAcentral's name for it is "bacterial SSU rRNA". It matches the Rfam family "Bacterial small subunit ribosomal RNA", at positions 355 to 823 of the family's 1533-position model. The record is from RNAcentral.